Molecule: ribosomal RNA, 254 nt
Filed under: uncultured bacterium
Lineage: Bacteria
Description: partial 16S ribosomal RNA
Rfam family: Bacterial small subunit ribosomal RNA
Source: RNAcentral
UACAGAGGUCCCAAGCGUUGUUCGGAAUUACUGGGCGUAAAGGGCGCGUAGGCGGUCUUCUAAGUCUUGUGUGAAAUCCCUCGGCUCAACUGAGGGACUGCACGGGAUACUGGAAGACUUGAGUUCGGGAGAGGGAAGCGGAAUUCCGGGUGUAGCGGUGAAAUGCGUAGAUAUCCGGAGGAACACCGGUGGCGAAGGCGGCUUCCUGGACCGAUUACUGACGCUGAGGCGCGAAAGCUAGGGGAGCAAACGGG